RNAcentral lists this ribosomal RNA (468 nucleotides) under uncultured bacterium. Its description in RNAcentral is "partial 16S ribosomal RNA". It matches the Rfam family "Bacterial small subunit ribosomal RNA", at positions 28 to 507 of the family's 1533-position model. The record is from RNAcentral.
GACGAACGCUGGCGGCGUGCUUAACACAUGCAAGUCGAACGGAAAGGCCCUGCUUUUGUGUGGUUCUCGAGUGGCGAACGGGUGAGUAACACGUGAGUAACCUGCCCUUGACUUUGGGAUAACUUCAGGAAACUGGGGCUAAUACCUGAUAGGAGCUCCUGCUGCAUGGUGGUGGUUGGAAAGUUUCGGCGGUUGGGGAUGUACUCGCGGCUUAUCAGCUUGUUGGUGGGGUAGUGGCUUACCAAGGCUUUGACGGCUAGCCGGCCUGAGAGGGUGACCAGCCACAUUGGGACUGAGAUACGGCGCAGACUCGUACGGGAGGCAGCAGUGGAGAAUAUUGCACAAUGAGGGGAAGCCUGAUGCAGAAGCGCCGCGAGCGGGAAGAAGGCCUUCGGGUUGUAAACCGCUUUCGCAUGUGACGAAGCGUGAGUGACGGUAAUGGGUAAAGAAGCACCGGCUAACUACGUG